UAAUUUUGACAAAUUGACAAUUAUUGUAAAAAAAUGUGAAUUGUGUUUUUAUUUAGGUCCUAAUAAAAUAAUAAAACAAAAUAUAUUCUGGUAUAAUUAUCUGAAUAUACACUAAUACAUAAUAUAAAAUAAAUUUAUAAAUAUGUCAGCACUACAGAAAAGCAUAAUGAAGAGUAAAUUGCCGCCCCGUUGUCCAAAAUCAGCAAGUGGAAAAUUAGCUCCAUUCGGAAUGGCCCGUCGCAAGGAUUACAGCCCUGUGCCGUGGCAGCAGUACUUUGAGAAGUAUGUGGAUGUGGAGACGGAAAGCGGAAGGUUCAGGGUGUAUUUGUCUCCAGAGCCAGACCACUCAAGCAGACCUCGGUUGGUGACAUUGCAUGGCGGAGGGUAUUCUGGAUUAAGCUGGGCACUUUUCACGGAAGAAAUAACGAACAUGAUCCACUGCCAAGUGAUCUCUAUGGACAUCAGAGGGCACGGAGAAACACAGGCUGACAACCCGGACGAUCUCAGUGCUGAUACUUUAGUGAAGGAUGUAGAACAAGUCCUACACAAGCUGUUUGGCGAAGAAUUACCCCCUAUAGUCCUGGUGGGGCACUCUAUGGGUGGCGCUGUGGCGGUCCGAGCCGCAUUACUACCAUCACUGGAGCCCUACGUCCACGGAAUCGCUGUCAUUGACGUCGUCGAAGGCACGGCGAUGGACGCGCUGGCCAGUAUGCAGAGCUUCCUGCGCGGGCGCCCCACCCACUUUCGCAGCAUUGAGCACGCUGUCGAGUGGUGCGUUAGAAGUGGCCAAGUGAGGAAUGUGGAUUCUGCUAAGGUGUCGAUGCCCAGCCAAAUCGUCAACUGUGAAACGAAUCUUCUCGCGACGAACGAGCUGGCGACGCACACGCCGGAGGCGCCGCACGCGCCGGCGCCGAUGGCGCUAGCGCCGGCCGCCGACUGCAUCGCCGAGGAGCCCGAGGACGCCGACGCCGACUGCAUCGCCGAGGAGCCCGAGGACGCCGACGCCGACUUCACGCCGCCGCCCACCGCGCCGCCCCAGCGUGGUGACGGGGACACUAACAUGAGAUACAAAUGGCGCAUCGACCUGUCGAAGACGGAGCGCUACUGGUCGGGCUGGUUCCAGGGGCUGUCGGCGCGCUUCCUGUCCGUGCGAGCCCCGCGGCUGCUGCUGCUCGCCUCCAUCGAGGGGCUGGACCGGGAGCUCACCAUCGGACAGAUGCAAGGUGAGACAUUACAUCGACCUGUCGCAGACGGAGCGCUACUGGUCGGGCUGGUUCCAGGGGCUGUCGGCGCGCUUCCUGUCCGUGCGAGCCCCGCGGCUGCUGCUGCUCGCCUCCAUCGAGGGGCUGGACCGGGAGCUCACCAUCGGACAGAUGCAAGGUGAGACAUUACAUCGACCUGUCGCAGACGGAGCGCUACUGGUCGGGCUGGUUCCAGGGGCUGUCGGCGCGCUUCCUGUCCGUGCGAGCCCCGCGGCUGCUGCUGCUCGCCUCCAUCGAGGGGCUGGACCGGGAGCUCACCAUCGGACAGAUGCAAGGCAAGUUCCAGAUGCAAGUGUUGACACGGUGCGGGCACGCGGUGCACGAAGACACUCCCGGAGAGGUGGCGCGCGUGAUCGCCGCGUUCCUGCUGCGGCACCGCGUCACGGAGCCCACGGAGGCCGGCGAGGACAUGCACCUCACCUCCACGCCGGGCUGCUAGGGUCACACCGAGCCACGCGAGCCUACACGUGGGGAUCUUAUGCUCACUCCGUUCUAGAUAUUUAAAUUAUUUCAUUUAAUAUAAUAAUAAAAAAAAUAGUAUCAUUGGGUAAACUAUUCUGUGGAUUCCUAAAAUCUGUUAGAAUUUAUAAAAAAAUUGCCGAGUUGAAUAUUUUUGGGGCCAAUUCGAUUGCAAGUACGAAAUGUCACCGUUAGAAAAGGUUUAAAUAACCAUAAAAAAAAUUGAAUAACUUAAACCACCUCCAGAUUAAUUUUCUACAUAUCAAUCCUCUUUAGUCCAACGUAAAAGCACUCCGGAGUAUAAAAUAAUCAUAACCCUAAUUCAUGAUUGUAAUGAAGUAUUUACUAGCGCAGUCAGCUGUCAUCCUUUGAAGGAUUAUCAACCAUUCAUACAAGCAACGGUUUACACGGUUUGGUGCAAUCGGUCCUUAAACCGGGUUAUCCGUAGAUGGUCUAGAACGAAAAAUGACUAGUGUGUUGUUUUGCCUAAAUCGCGAUUAGUCUACAUCGCAAACGGUCUAGAACGCAAAAUGACCGUUUUAUUGUUUCCGUUUUAUCUUAACUUCAUAGCGACUGUUUGGCCUUUGGGCCAAAGGCUUUGGCCAUUUGAAGAUACCUAACGAACGAAUUUCUGGGCGAGCUCGCUCCAUCGUAGGCCACGUCUACGCCUCGGCAGGUCUGUGGCCAUGAGUAAGCCCAUUCAUAAUAAUAAAAAAAAAAAGCCUAACCUACCUAUAUAAAAUGUGGUGAUAUAAAAAUUGGGUUUUAUUGUGUUGUUUUGCCUAAAUCGCAAUUAGUCUACAUCGCAAACGAUCUAGAAUGCAAAAUGCCAAUGCAAAUGUCAUUUUGCGUUCUAGACCAUCUGCGAAUAACCCCUUAAACCAAUAGCUGCAAUGCGUACCAAGUAAUUUAAUUAUUAAAUUACAUUACGGUGCUAUAAUAAGCACUGCGUACGAUACACAUGCGAAUUAAUUCACAACUCGUUGCGCAUUUCCUAUUUUAUCGUAAAUAACUUUUAAUACACAAGCAACUGACCCAAUCGUCUUCAGCUAUCAAUACGCCUUUUGAUAGGAAUUGCGUCUAUAAAUCAUUACCUAGAGUUUAAAGGCCGAAUAGUGAAUUAUUAAUUGAUAAGUCUGAUCGACUUAAGAAAAAGUCUCAUUUAAUUAAAGUUAUUUAACUAAAUCUUACGUAAGUAACGUAAAUAGGUAGGGGUAUUGCUUCAAAUACCUAACUGUAAUUUUUGCGUAAAUAAUCCAUUCUUGCGCAAGUCAUACGAAAACAAAAGGGAAUUAUUAGUUCUUUUUACAUACAACAACACAAGUAGGUAUAAUCAGUCACAAACUUAAUACAUAAAUCGACAAAGAAAAUUAUUUAAGAUAGAAAUCUGAAUUUUAUUCUGUACAUAAAUUGAAUUUCUCGCAUAUCACUAAUUAAUUUAUUGCAAGUACUUAAAGUAUAUAUUUAUUUUGAUUUAUUGGUCCACGACGUAGCGUCCAAAAGAAAUUCAUAGUAUUUAUUGAGAUUUCUAAACAUUAAGCUAUCUGUGAAAUACUUUAGAAGAAUAAAUAAGUUAUCCUCAUAUAAGUAACCAGGAAAUUAAAUAUAUGUAAUGAAUCGAUAUUUAUCUCAUUUUUAUUUUCAUGUUAUUUCUCAUCACUCAUCAUCAUCAUCGCUUGCACUUGUCCCAUUCACUCGUUGUCGGCGCAGCAGGCCUAUUUCUUCCAUAGGUACCUAUUUUACCGUUUAGUUUAUAUUUCAUCGAUGUAAUAAUUACGCAAAAUACC
Cydia fagiglandana is the source of this 3508-nucleotide RNA transcript. It is a transcript of the gene named protein phosphatase methylesterase 1, with no coding region annotated. The transcript has 10 exons. NCBI's taxonomy places the organism in Eukaryota, Metazoa, Arthropoda, Insecta, Lepidoptera, Tortricidae. The record is from RefSeq and is a predicted model, not a curated record.